Molecule: long non-coding RNA, 1437 nt
Filed under: Populus tremula
Lineage: Eukaryota; Viridiplantae; Streptophyta; Magnoliopsida; Malpighiales; Salicaceae
Description: long non-coding RNA (PTRE_LNC001826)
Source: RNAcentral
AUUGGUUGAAAUGGAGAGGUUUUCUGAGAGAGAGAGUGUUCUGUUAGGUUAUAAUUUCCAAAGACCUUUUAUAAACCAUCCAGGUUCUUCUCCAGAGAGCCAGUAUGGAAACUCAGAUAUUGAUUUUACCGAUGUUUUCGGUGGCCCACCGAGGCGAUCGUCACUUCAGGAGGUGCGGUAUAGUUUUUCUGAAACGACAGAUUCAUUUGCAUCGACAAGUGGUGAUGUUGAUACCAAGUUGUCUCGCCACAGUUUGUCUGGUCUAAAUGACAAGCCAGUGUUUGGAGAUGAAAAUGUCAAUAGAAGGCGAUAUCCAGACGACGGUUUCUUUGGUGAUAUUUUUAGAGGCAGCGAAUCUUUGAGUUCUUCUCCGAGGAAGCAUGACCGUGAUUCACUUUCUUCGACUCCAGGUUCAACAGUCUUAAGCCCUGCUGAAUUGCUGCCACAUAGAGUUGAUCCCUGGAGUCCAUCACUGCCUGCACAAUUCAGGUUUGGCUUCAUUCCGAGAUGCUAUUUGCUCUAUUCCUGUACGAUUUAGAUCUUAUGAUUUAUAUUUUUUUUUCAUCAGUUGACAUAAAUCACCGAUUGGGAAUACUUUUAUACCCAUAAGAGUUGAUGAUAUGUCUUUUCUAAGGUUGUUUCAAAUGUUUUUCGGUAUUAAUGUGGUGUGUGGUAGUGGUUAUUGAUUACUUAUCUUGCAGUUGUUCUUAUCUGCACAAUUAUCUGCUUGGGUUUUGGUGUCUUUUGAACAAAUGCAUCCCAAGAGCUCAAAUAUUGUACUGAUAAUUUUGCAGCCUCCCUGCCAAACUGAUUAAAGGGACAGACUUGCCAGCAUUUGUUUCUAGUGUCCGUGGCCAACACAAAAAUAAAGACGGGGCUUCAAAUGGCAUCAGCAAUUAUACAUAUUCUCCUUUGUCUGGAUCUGCAAGCCCAACGAACCUCGUUAGAGACGAGUUGACUAAUGAUGUCUCUCGGCAGAGCGCUUUAUCCAAGGAGCCAUCUCUUAGCAUUGAGGAGUCAUCAAACGUGACCAAACCUGAAGAAACAGAUAAAAGCAGAAAUUUGAAAAGGGAUUCAGAUGGUUCUGAAAUUCCGACAAACAGAAACCAAUUUCAUUUUUCUAUUUACAAGUGGGCAACCAAAGGAUUACCUUUUGCGAUGCCUCUUAGAGGAGCUAACAAAUCAAGGCUGAAUGAGAAGUGUAAACUUCAGAGAUGUUCAAGUACUAAUGGAUGGACAGCAUGCGAGGGUAUAGCAAGAGAAUUACGUUCAGCAACUCCACAUGAUAAUGAUAUUCCCGCAUUCAAUGGUCGAAUGGAGCUUGACAAACAAGAUGAUCACUUCCUCUUCGACACAAGCAUUCAGGGUGAAGUAAAAGCGUGUCAAAUUCUUGAGGACACAAGUUUCCCUAUAUCUGAGUUGGAUACUCCAAGCAAU